CUAGCGACUUCAGAGUUUGAUCCUGGCUCAGGACGAACGCUGGCGGCGUGCUUAACACAUGCAAGUCGAACGGAGCUUUUUGGAUAGAGACUUCGGUCAAUUGAAUUAAAGCUUAGUGGCGGACUGGUGAGUAACGCGUGAGGAACCUGCCUUUCAGAGGGGGACAACAGUUGGAAACGACUGCUAAUACCGCAUGACGCAUUCGGGUCGCAUGGCCUGAAUGCCAAAGAUUUUAUCGCUGAAAGAUGGCCUCGCGUCUGAUUAGCUAGUUGGUGAGGUAACGGCCCACCAAGGCGACGAUCAGUAGCCGGACUGAGAGGUUGACCGGCCACAUUGGGACUGAGAUACGGCCCAG
Molecule: ribosomal RNA, 355 nt
Filed under: uncultured bacterium
Lineage: Bacteria
Description: bacterial SSU rRNA
Rfam family: Bacterial small subunit ribosomal RNA
Source: RNAcentral